This 253-nucleotide ribosomal RNA is filed under the name uncultured bacterium. RNAcentral describes it as "partial 16S ribosomal RNA". It matches the Rfam family "Bacterial small subunit ribosomal RNA", at positions 524 to 776 of the family's 1533-position model. The record is from RNAcentral.
GACGGAGGAUGCAAGCGUUAUCCGGAAUGAUUGGGCGUAAAGCGUCCGCAGGUGGCAGUUCAAGUCUGCUGUCAAAGACCGGGGCUUAACUUCGGAAAGGCAGUGGAAACUGAACAGCUAGAGUAUGGUAGGGGCAGAGGGAAUUCCUGGUGUAGCGGUGAAAUGCGUAGAGAUCAGGAAGAACAUCGGUGGCGAAGGCGGCUCUCUGGAACGCAACUGACGCUGAGACGCGAAAGCGUGGGGAGCAAACAGG